Pantherophis guttatus is the source of this 1213-nucleotide long non-coding RNA. RefSeq lists it as uncharacterized. The record is from RefSeq and is a predicted model, not a curated record. Lineage: Eukaryota; Metazoa; Chordata; Lepidosauria; Squamata; Colubridae.
CGCGGUGUGGGGGAGGGGAGGGCAGCGGCGGAGGGCGACCACCUCCCUCAGACGGGAGAGGAGGAGGAGGAAGAAGAAGAAGAAGAAGAGGAAGGCUUCCCUGAGGCGAAAGGGGCGGGGACCCGUCUCGAGGCUUUCUGCCCGGCUUUCUUGUGAGGACGGGGAUCCGAAAACAAAUACAGAUGCAUCCUGGCUAGCCAGAUGAAAAGGUCAGCUCUGGAGAGAAAAAAAAAACAAAAACAAAGACAAAAUACAGCUUGGAAAUAAAUGGAGCUUUCAGCAGAAGGCCAAACUAUUAGACCUGUUCAGUUCCCUGUAUCAAAUGCUGCAUUUCUGGAGGGGAAGCGGGGGGGGGGGACCCUGGACAUCGUAGUUGAAGGAGAGGGUGUCAGAAGUGCAAGGAUUUUUGGGGAAGAUCAUUUGUCUGUCACAUUCAUAGAAGAGAUUCACGCUUUCUACCUGAUCUAAGAGAGCUGACCUUGAAUUAUUUCUGGUGCAAUUUGCUGGGAUCUACAUUCUAUAAAAACUGCCCAGAAUAUCAUCGGGCUCCAGCUACCAGCCCUGGACAACUUAUUCGAAUCUCGCUGUUGGAGGAAGUUGCACAACAUUCUCAGAGACUCUUCCCAUCCUGCUUACAAUCUUUUUGGAUUGUUGCCUUCUGGCAGAAGAUACAGAAAAAUUAAAACUCGGACCACACGUUUUCUGAAUAGUUUUUAUCCCAGAGCUAUAAUUGCACUCAACAAUGAACUAAAGGGCCACCAUCAGUGAGCUGUUGGACAGCAUUACUUGGUCUGUUGUGUGGAUGUUUGGGUGGUUUAGGGGUGGGGAAUUUGUGGUGGGUGGGUGGGGUGUUUGGGGAUUGAUAUGUGUGUUGGACCUGCUCUUUGGGUGUUAAGUGAAUUUCGUUGUAUGGGUAUACUGUGUAGACACGUACAAUGACAAUAAAGUAGUAGUAGUUGUUAUUAUUCAAUUCUUUUUGUAAGAUGAUUGUUUUAGGAUAGCUGUGUGAAUGCCAGGAAGCAAAUCAGGACUACCUCUCCCUAUGUAACCUGUGAAUCUUCUGAAACUCAGCACUGCGGGUUUUACACACCUGAACGAAAUUAUAGGCAAUUAAUUCAGACAAUAACCAGGCCUACAGCAUAAUACAUAUUUACCUGGGAACUCAACUUUCAAGUAGACGUGCUAAUUAAGACAUUCGCUUUUCCAUUCUAAC